This 157-nucleotide non-coding RNA is filed under the name Zavarzinia compransoris. RNAcentral describes it as "6S / SsrS RNA". It matches the Rfam family "6S / SsrS RNA". From Rfam's summary of the family: E. coli 6S RNA was the first non coding RNA to be sequenced, but its function was unknown until recently. It consists of 184 nucleotides that fold into an extended hairpin structure with a large single-stranded internal bulge. The record is from Rfam by way of RNAcentral. Lineage: Bacteria; Pseudomonadati; Pseudomonadota; Alphaproteobacteria; Rhodospirillales; Zavarziniaceae.
CGGGUACUGCUGGGUGCGCCAGGCACUGCAAUCCCUGGGGCCAAUACCCGAACUCUUGGGAGCUGUCCCUUUCCGGACCGUGGUCCGGAAACAUGGCGCCCACCUGCUGACGCAGGCCACAGAGGAUCGGAACGCCAGCGGCUUCGGUGGUCCCGCC